Molecule: unclassified non-coding RNA, 366 nt
Filed under: uncultured bacterium
Lineage: Bacteria
Description: contains 16S-23S intergenic spacer region
Source: RNAcentral
UCCCUCUUGAUGAGGGCAGUCCUGUCUGAAAAAUCCAACAGACAGCGAGGGUUUCGCUCGUUUACCCACUUAAGGGCACAGCUCACGCCACGAGCUGACGACAGCCGUGCAACACCUGUCUUAGCGCUCCCUUGCGGGCACUCUCCUGUUUCCAAGAGAUUCGCUAGAUGUCAAACCCUGGUAAGGUUCUCCGGUUAUCGUCGAAUUAAACCACAUGCUCCACCGCUUGUGCGAUCCCCCGUCAAUUCCUUUGAGUUUUAGUCUUGCGACCGUACUUCCCAGGCGGCACACUUAACGCGUUAGCUUCGCUACAAGAAGGGUCGAUACUUCUGAUAGCUAGUGUGCAUCGUUUACGGCGUGGACUAC